Long non-coding RNA from Oncorhynchus mykiss (rainbow trout), 4314 nucleotides. RefSeq lists it as uncharacterized. The record is from RefSeq and is a predicted model, not a curated record. NCBI's taxonomy places the organism in Eukaryota, Metazoa, Chordata, Actinopteri, Salmoniformes, Salmonidae.
GUACAGAAUUAGGCAGACCAUGAUUGAUCGCAUUCUCCAGCACAGUAGGUGAGGACAUGCACUUUAAACGGUUGUUUUCGCGGACCGCCAUGAUAUCAUAGAAGAAAACUGUCGCAUUCCACUCCAGCAGAGGGCGAUAGUCAAUCAUUUGUGAUGCCCUACACAGAGGGACAUGCGCUUCUGUGUUUAUAUUCUGCAGAAGUGCAUGCUAAUUUUGCAUGGAAGAAAAUAAACAAUAAAAACUAAAAGAGAGUUGAAGAGAGAAUUUCUCAACCAGAAAUUAAUAGCGGCUGCUGAGGAGAUAUUUGGGGUCGUUGAAAAAACGAUAACAGAGUACCAGCUAGACGUUUUCCAUACGAAAGAGGAGAACGAACGUCUUCGUGGGCUGUUGAUGUUGCACAAAGGAGUGUAAAGAGGAAGAGGAUACCCACUGGAUCAGUGAGGUUGAAGAACACAUUCAAAAGCUGGAGUCUGAUUCCAAAGAAUAUCCAGACCAAGUAUCCACUUCUGAAGAUUUCACAUUCCAAAUGGAGACAGAAGGGUCUGUAAAUGAAGCCAUCAAACUGAAAGUCAUCCUCAACGACAACAGAAUAGAGAAAGUGAUUCUGCCCUCUCAACCUGACUCACUGAAUGAGCUGAUAUCAACGCUCAAGGAGAAACUGCAUCUGAAGUUUCAUUUCAGUCUUCUUUAUGAAGACCCUGAUGUAAACAACGAGCUCUUCAACUUAGAGACCAUUGAAGACUUGCCUUCUCCUAGGGCUACGGGAAAGUUUUGCGAAUACCACGUGAUACAGACCUCGGUUUAACCGGACUCUCAGCCACCGAGUUACAGGCCGCCCCACCAGAGCGGUUAGGAAGGUGGCCUGAGGUAUUUGUCAUACUCACUUUCUCAAUGGAAGUUGAGUUUGCUCUGAGAGAGGGCUAUUGUGCAUAUCUGAGACAGGAAACGGUGCUGAAAAUAACGAAGGAUCAAAAACACAACAUUCUUGAUAGGAUGGCUUGGACAAUCUUCAAUUCCAAAGCGUACCCAAGUGACAGGCAUUUUGGCAGCUGAGGCCCUUGUAACCAAGCACCCAUGUUUGAAAGAGCCUGGCUCAAACGCAGGCUGUGAUGGCUGGAAGAACAGCCUGAAAUUCAAAACGGGAAACUACAGGCAGAAGUUACGCCAUGUUGGGUUCCCAGAGGUUGCUGUGAACGGGGGGAGGAGGAGCAAGCAUCGUCCUGACAAUGAACAGCUCGAAGCAACAUUAAACAAGCACGCCGGGCAGAAGGGAACUUCCUGCCCAACUUCCCUCAAGGAGAAGACGAGGCCAGCCUGGAGAAACAGAGACUGGAGAUGGUCCACGAGAUGACAAAAGAAAACUGAGACUUGCUGGGUCCCACAGUGGCACAUUGUAAACAGGAAGAAGAUACACACUGGAUCAGUGAGGUUGAAGAAUACAUUGAAAGGCUGGAGUCUGAUCCCAAAGACCCUGACCAAGUAUCCACUUCUGAAGGUACAUGCUGAGUUUCAGAGAAUCACCAACCAGAGCCUGCAGCAGACGUUCUACUCUGCCUUGGACCACCACACGCCCCGCCUGCUGACCCUGUUCAGGGAGGAGGAGGGGAAGUCCACCACCCAUGAAGGGAAGUUCUCAAGCAUCCUGAGAGUGUACAACGAGCAGUGGGAGAACUCAGCAACCCUGGUAUACUGGAUGGAGUUGCCAUUCUCUCAGUGGUGGGCCAGCACAAUGAGGUGGUGGGUGGUAUACCCAUCAGACCGGCCCAUGUAUCCAUUGUCCUUGAGGAUAAGAUCGUCAUGACUAACUCCCGCUCCUGGCCAGACGCUCUCGUGGUUGUUUUUGGGUUACUCUACUCCCUCCAUCUGAACUACCCCAAAGCCCUGGGCAGCACCUUUGAGUUCAUGCAGAAAAUCUUCCUGAAUCUCGACGAUGGAAAACUGAAGCCCAAGCGGCUAGCGCUGAAAUAUGAACUGUUGGCCUAAUUCUGUAGUGAUGAGAUGGAAUUUUACUUUGAGUGACCUCCUAUAUGCCGAGCGAGUGGUUUGAAAACAAUGGUUAUUUUUGUUUGGUUUGCUUUUAUAUUUUUGUACGUUUUUUGUGCAAGUAAUGGAUUUGAUAUUGUAUUUCAAUUCACUUAUAACCCUUUAAUAUGAAAAGAAGACACAGGUCAGUCAACACAUUAACUUGCCACAUACAGUCGAUCUGCGACCCAGUUCUCUACCUUUGUUAUACAGCUGCAGAAAACCCCCAAACGUUUUCUAGAAGAUUUCACCUUUGCAGACAUUCCGACUGGCACAAAAUACAUGUUGAUAAGAUGUUUAUGAAAGUGUCUUUACCUGCUAUUGUCUAUCUUCUCUGGCAGUGUUGCGUGAUCCUGGCCUUCUAUCUGAAUUCUAAAUGCUCACCAAGACACAGGACUAUGUCUUAACUGUUGUAACACACUGAGUAUACGCUGAGUGUACAUUAUUGUGUUGCACCCCCUUUUGCACUCAGAACAGCCUCAAUUCGUCAGGCAUGGGCUCUACAAGAUGUCAAAGCGUUUCACAGGGAUGAUGGCCCAUGUUGACUCCAAUGUGUCCAACAGUUGUGUCAAGUUGGCGCGAUGUCCUUUAGGUAAUGGACUGUUCAGAGAUGACGUCUGUGUGUGUUCCGUCUGACUCCUGUCCAGCUGAGGUUUCUCCACACUGCCGGCACAGCUCCAUGUCAACUUGAUGCAAACACUGGUAUCUGUGAGACGGUUUCUCUGUCAACACAGCUCACUGGUUUGUCUGUCUGUCUCGUUGGUCUGCCUGUCGCUGGUAUGUGUGUCUGUUGCUUGUCUGGGAGGUAGUGUUGGUCGCCUUCACAGUUCUCUCAGACACAAAGGUCUCUGUGUGUGUGUUUUUGUGUGUGCGCACAUGCAAGUGAGUCUGUUCUUAAUUACAUGGAGCACCAUGUCAGCAUAUUUCUCAGCUUGUGAAUAGAUGAGUGAGUUAAUGAGUGAGGGUUUUAUGUGUGUUUUCCUACGACUAAGGGAGUAGUUAUUAGAUUUCAUUGUCAUGCAGCCUGAGCCCUCCCCCUUUGACUGACACUGAGAAUACUUCACCAGAUUGGCAAAAACAAGAAACUAUGAAACGCCUGUGACUCCAAUUAGUAUAUAAUCAAGGCAGACUGUCAGUCAGUCCAUGGCUCUGUGAUCACAUAAGUAGUUCACUUACCGGUAGAACAGACGGCACCAUUGACAGAAAGUCUUGCCUGAUUGAACGCCGAGGGAAGCCUGGUACAGAAAUGUCCAUUUACUUAGAAAUUACAUGAUUAAAAUGGUAAUUACACUAAUUACACUAAUAAUUUGAUUGGCGAAACUUCUGUGUUAGCCAAGCUGCAAUGAUGGACAGGCCAUGUAAAUGACAUCUAUUUAUUCUAUGCAACCUAUUUCUACGUCUUUGACAUUGUCCUUCUCACUCACCCUGGUGAAGGAUGGCUCUAAGAAUAUCUCCCUGAUGUGAUGUCAUCAGAAUGGAAUGUCAGGAUCGUCCUGUAGAUGCUGCAAUACAGAAUGCUGCCGACAUACUUAUCUAAGGUGACUUUAAACGCCACACAACCAAUUUACCAUGGAAUAUCUCCGCUCAACAUGAGGGCAGGAGAAGGCUAAUAGCACUUGUGACACGAAUAUACCUCUGUUUACUUCUUUACUACUAAUGAACUCUUGUUGAAUGCAUGUUAUUCCUAUGGUUAAUGCAGAGUACAGUAGCUGUUCUGAAUGGCAACAUGGCUGACUAUACAGCGCUAUAAACAGACUAUAAGGCAAAGACCCACACUGUCAGUUCCUAACUGUAAAUAGAGAUCAAAGUAAAAUAGUUUUAUGUGAACAGUCAGACCGUAGCAUGCUAACAUAGUACGGUCCAGCUGCAUAUGCAAUUACCAUGUAAAUACUGGAUGGUUUUAACUUCACUUGGUAUAAAGAGGGAAUCGUAAGCCACACCAUCACAUGUACUGUAUGAAUAGGAUGAAGUUGCCUCUUUGUGGUUGAAACAUUAUUAAUACAAACUAUAGGAGCAUUUAUUCUAAACAGCACAGAGGCAUUUGUCACAUUUAGCCUAGAACACAUUCAGCCCUGAGCUUCUAACAGCAUCGGUAAAUCAUAAGAUUCCAGCUCCUCCUAUCAGUUUCCUUCUUUCUUUUACAGUGUGGUCUGGAAUGUUGGCUUUACAGGGAUGGUGCUCACUGGUGCUACACAACUUUCAUGUCUCACACUCAUCCCAUACAUAUGUCUCCUAUUAGCUACACUCGCCCAGAGAGAGGGAGGAAAGGGAAGGAGAGAGGGGGGGGAAGG